GGAGAGGUGGCAGAGUGGUCGAUUGCGGCGGUCUUGAAAACCGUUGUGCUGCGAGGCACCCGGGGUUCGAAUCCCUGUCUCUCCGCCA
RNAcentral lists this transfer RNA (88 nucleotides) under Bacteroides eggerthii. RNAcentral describes it as "tRNA-Ser". It matches the Rfam family "tRNA". Rfam says of the family: Transfer RNA (tRNA) molecules are approximately 80 nucleotides in length. Their secondary structure includes four short double-helical elements and three loops (D, anti-codon, and T loops). Further hydrogen bonds mediate the characteristic L-shaped molecular structure. tRNAs have two regions of fundamental functional importance: the anti-codon, which is responsible for specific mRNA codon recognition, and the 3' end, to which the tRNAs corresponding amino acid is attached (by aminoacyl-tRNA synthetases). tRNAs cope with the degeneracy of the genetic code in two manners: having more than one tRNA (with a specific anti-codon) for a particular amino acid; and 'wobble' base-pairing, i.e. permitting non-standard base-pairing at the 3rd anti-codon position. The record is from RNAcentral. Lineage: Bacteria; Pseudomonadati; Bacteroidota; Bacteroidia; Bacteroidales; Bacteroidaceae. RNAcentral also lists the same sequence under 3 other names.